GACGAACGCUGACGGCGUGCUUAACACAUGCAAGUCGAACGGAAAGGCUCCAGCUUGCUGGAGUACUCGAGUGGCGAACGGGUGAGUAACACGUGGGUAAUCUGCCCUGCACUCUGGGAUAAGCCUGGGAAACUGGGUCUAAUACUGGAUAUGACCUUUCUCCUUAUGGGGUUUGGUGGAAAGUUUUUCGGUGUAGGAUGAGCCCGCGGCCUAUCAGCUUGUUGGUGGGGUGAUGGCCUACCAAGGCGACGACGGGUAGCCGGCCUGAGAGGGUGAUCGGCCACAUUGGGACUGAGAUACGGCCCAGACUCCUACGGGAGGCAGCAGUGGGGAAUAUUGCACAAUGGGCGGAAGCCUGAUGCAGCGACGCCGCGUGAGGGAUGACGGCCUUCGGGUUGUAAACCUCUUUCAGCAGGGACGAAGCGUAAGUGACGGUACCUGCAGAAGAAGCACCGGCUAACUACGUG
RNAcentral lists this ribosomal RNA (467 nucleotides) under uncultured bacterium. Its description in RNAcentral is "partial 16S ribosomal RNA". It matches the Rfam family "Bacterial small subunit ribosomal RNA", at positions 28 to 507 of the family's 1533-position model. The record is from RNAcentral.